RNAcentral lists this ribosomal RNA (253 nucleotides) under uncultured bacterium. RNAcentral describes it as "partial 16S ribosomal RNA". It matches the Rfam family "Bacterial small subunit ribosomal RNA", at positions 524 to 776 of the family's 1533-position model. The record is from RNAcentral.
UACGGAGGGGGCUAGCGUUGUUCGGAAUUACUGGGCGUAAAGCGCACGUAGGCGGCUUUGUAAGUUAGAGGUGAAAGCCCGGGGCUCAACUCCGGAAUUGCCUUUAAGACUGCAUCGCUAGAAUUGUGGAGAGGUGAGUGGAAUUCCGAGUGUAGAGGUGAAAUUCGUAGAUAUUCGGAAGAACACCAGUGGCGGAGGCGGCUCACUGGACUGGUAUUGACGCUGAGGUGCGAAAGCGUGGGGAGCAAACAGG